CCUACGGGAGGCAGCAGUAGGGAAUCUUCCACAAUGGGCGCAAGCCUGACGGAGCAACACCGCGUGAGUGAAGAAGGGUUUCGGAUCGUAAAGCUCUGUUGUUGGGGAAGAACGAGUGUGAGAGUAACUGUUCACGCCGUGACGGUAUCCAACCAGAAAGUCACGGCUAACUACGUGCCAGCAGCCGCGGUAAUACGUAGGUGGCAAGCAUUAUCCGGAUUUAUUGGGCGUAAAGCGGGCGGAGGCGGUUUUUUAGGUCUGAUGUGAAAGCCCUCGGCUCAACCGAAGAAGGGCAUUGGAAACCGGGCGACUUGAGUGCAGAAGAGGACAGUGGAACUCCAUGUGUAGCGGUGAAAUGCGUAGAUAUAUGGAAGAACACCAGUGGCGAAGGCGGCUGUCUGGUCUGCAACUGACGCUGAGGCGCGAAAGCGUGGGUAGCAAACAGGAUUAGAUACCCUAGUAGUC
Molecule: ribosomal RNA, 465 nt
Filed under: uncultured bacterium
Lineage: Bacteria
Description: partial 16S ribosomal RNA
Rfam family: Bacterial small subunit ribosomal RNA
Source: RNAcentral